AUAAUUUUAACUAUAUACUAUAUACCAUCGAGAAAAUUGAUUCCUAGGCAGUUGGCAGACCAACGUCAUUUGGUCGGAUCAUGUCAAUGCAAUGUUAAUUGUGAUCUGUCGGCUGCGUUUGACGUAACACGACCAAACUAGGUAGGUCCCUCAUCUGUCGAGGUAUCAACUUUUCUGAUAGUACAAG
Long non-coding RNA from Aricia agestis (brown argus), 187 nucleotides. RefSeq lists it as uncharacterized. Lineage: Eukaryota; Metazoa; Arthropoda; Insecta; Lepidoptera; Lycaenidae. The transcript has 3 exons. The record is from RefSeq and is a predicted model, not a curated record.